UACGAAGGGGGCUAGCGUUGCUCGGAAUUACUGGGCGUAAAGCGCACGUAGGCGGCUCUUUAAGUCGGGGGUGAAAUCCUGGAGCUCAACUCCAGAACUGCCUUCGAUACUGUAGAGCUUGAGUUCGGGAGAGGUGAGUGGAACUGCGAGUGUAGAGGUGAAAUUCGUAGAUAUUCGCAAGAACACCAGUGGCGAAGGCGGCUCACUGGUCCGGUACUGACGCUGAGGUGCGAAAGCGUGGGGAGCAAACAGG
This 253-nucleotide ribosomal RNA is filed under the name uncultured bacterium. RNAcentral describes it as "partial 16S ribosomal RNA". It matches the Rfam family "Bacterial small subunit ribosomal RNA", at positions 524 to 776 of the family's 1533-position model. The record is from RNAcentral.